GCCUGGGUGGCUUGGUCGGUUAAGCAUCUGACUUCGGCUCAGGUCAUGAUCUCACGGUCCGUGAGUUCGAGCCCCACGUCGGGCU
RNAcentral lists this transfer RNA (85 nucleotides) under Felis catus (domestic cat). It matches the Rfam family "tRNA". From Rfam's summary of the family: Transfer RNA (tRNA) molecules are approximately 80 nucleotides in length. Their secondary structure includes four short double-helical elements and three loops (D, anti-codon, and T loops). Lineage: Eukaryota; Metazoa; Chordata; Mammalia; Carnivora; Felidae. The record is from Rfam by way of RNAcentral. RNAcentral also lists the same sequence under 1 other name.